GCCAGUGUGAUGUAGUGGUUUGAAUGUUGGAUUAUGGUUCUAAAGAAUAGGGUUCAAAUCCCCACUUGGUCA
Non-coding RNA from Phrynosoma platyrhinos (Desert horned lizard), 72 nucleotides. NCBI's taxonomy places the organism in Eukaryota, Metazoa, Chordata, Lepidosauria, Squamata, Phrynosomatidae. The record is from the annotation of a GenBank genome assembly.